This 253-nucleotide ribosomal RNA is filed under the name uncultured bacterium. Its description in RNAcentral is "partial 16S ribosomal RNA". It matches the Rfam family "Bacterial small subunit ribosomal RNA", at positions 524 to 776 of the family's 1533-position model. The record is from RNAcentral.
UACGUAGGGGGCAAGCGUUGUCCGGAAUCAUUGGGCGUAAAGAGCGUGUAGGCGGCCAUGCAGGUCCGUUGUGAAAACUCGAGGCUCAACCUCGAGACGCCGAUGGAAACCGCAUGGCUAGAGUCCGGAAGAGGAGAGUGGAAUUCCUGGUGUAGCGGUGAAAUGCGCAGAUAUCAGGAAGAACACCUGCGGCGAAGGCGGGUUGCUGGGCCGACACUGACGCUGAAGUGCGAAAGCUAGGGGAGCGAACGGG